AACGCUGGCGGCAGGCUUAACACAUGCAAGUCGAGCGGGGAAAGGUAGCUUGCUACUGACCUAGCGGCGGACGGGUGAGUAAUGCUUAGGAAUCUGCCUAUUAGUGGGGGACAACAUCUCGAAAGGGAUGCUAAUACCGCAUACGUCCUACGGGAGAAAGCAGGGGACCUUCGGGCCUUGCGCUAAUAGAUGAGCCUAAGUCGGAUUAGCUAGUUGGUGGGGUAAAGGCCUACCAAGGCGACGAUCUGUAGCGGGUCUGAGAGGAUGAUCCGCCACACUGGGACUGAGACACGGCCCAGACUCCUACGGGAGGCAGCAGUGGGGAAUAUUGGACAAUGGGGGGAACCCUGAUCCAGCCAUGCCGCGUGUGUGAAGAAGGCCUUUUGGUUGUAAAGCACUUUAAGCGAGGAGGAGGCUACCGAGAUUAAUACUCUUGGAUAGUGGACGUUACUCGCAGAAUAAGCACCGGCUAACUCUGUGCCAGCAGCCGCGGUAAU
RNAcentral lists this ribosomal RNA (497 nucleotides) under uncultured bacterium. RNAcentral describes it as "bacterial SSU rRNA". It matches the Rfam family "Bacterial small subunit ribosomal RNA", at positions 32 to 524 of the family's 1533-position model. The record is from RNAcentral.